Molecule: unclassified non-coding RNA, 240 nt
Filed under: soil metagenome
Description: partial contains 5.8S ribosomal RNA, internal transcribed spacer 2, and large subunit ribosomal RNA
Source: RNAcentral
AACCUAGCACACCUGCGGUGUGUACCUGCGGAGGGAUCAUUACAGAGUUGCAAAACUCCCUAAACCAUUGUGAACGUUACCUAAACCGUUGCUUCGGCGGGCGGCGCGCCCUCGCGCGCGCCCCUGGGCCCCACCGCGGGCGCCCGCCGGAGGUCACCAAACUCUUGAUAUUAAUUGGCCUCUCUGAGUCUUCUGUACUGAAUAAGUCAAAACUUUCAACAACGGAUCUCAGAUCGGAAG